RNAcentral lists this transfer RNA (71 nucleotides) under Anaeramoeba flamelloides. Its description in RNAcentral is "tRNA-Asp". It matches the Rfam family "tRNA". Rfam says of the family: Transfer RNA (tRNA) molecules are approximately 80 nucleotides in length. Their secondary structure includes four short double-helical elements and three loops (D, anti-codon, and T loops). Further hydrogen bonds mediate the characteristic L-shaped molecular structure. tRNAs have two regions of fundamental functional importance: the anti-codon, which is responsible for specific mRNA codon recognition, and the 3' end, to which the tRNAs corresponding amino acid is attached (by aminoacyl-tRNA synthetases). tRNAs cope with the degeneracy of the genetic code in two manners: having more than one tRNA (with a specific anti-codon) for a particular amino acid; and 'wobble' base-pairing, i.e. permitting non-standard base-pairing at the 3rd anti-codon position. Lineage: Eukaryota; Anaeramoebidae. The record is from RNAcentral.
UUCCGAUUAGUAUAGAGGUAGAAUGCCUGACUGUCACUCAGGUGGCCGGGGUUCAAUUCCCCGAUCGGAAG